Molecule: ribosomal RNA, 253 nt
Filed under: uncultured bacterium
Lineage: Bacteria
Description: partial 16S ribosomal RNA
Rfam family: Bacterial small subunit ribosomal RNA
Source: RNAcentral
UACGUAGGGUGCGAGCGUUGUCCGGAAUUAUUGGGCGUAAAGGGCUCGUAGGCGGUUUGUCACGUCGGGAGUGAAAACUCGGGGCUCAACCCCGAGCCUGCUUCCGAUACGGGCAGACUAGAGGUAUGCAGGGGAGAACGGACUUCCUGGUGUAGCGGUGAAAUGCGCAGAUAUCAGGAGGAACACCUGCGGUGUAGACGGCUUUCUGGACCAUUGCUGACGCUGAGACACGAAAGCGUGGGUAGCAAACAGG